RNAcentral lists this long non-coding RNA (631 nucleotides) under Anas platyrhynchos platyrhynchos (common mallard). Its description in RNAcentral is "lncRNA (ENSAPLG00000028516.1)". The record is from RNAcentral. Lineage: Eukaryota; Metazoa; Chordata; Aves; Anseriformes; Anatidae.
CUUGGAAAGGGAGGAAGCUUUCCAUCCCAAGUGUGCAAAGCAUUGCGGUCUUUAAUUUAUUGACUGUAUUGACCUGACUUUUAAAAGACUCCCCAACUUGGCAUCAGUAUUCUGUUUAUCUCACAUGCAAUGAAUCUGUCCUUCUUCCCUGUGUACAAGUACUUAAUAGCUGUUAAAUGAUGAGGACAGGCCUUGCUGGAUCUGUGAGAGUUGUACUUUAAGGUACAUUUGGAUUAAUGCUUUCCUUUUCUUCUGCUCCAUUCUCAGGUUGCUGCACUACUUGCUCAAUUUGACUGUCCUAGCGGCUUGGAAACCUUGUCAGAUGAUUUUCAGCAGGAGUGAUUCCUUCAGUGCUGCCACACCAGUGGAGAUUACAGUUGGAUCUCCUUCCAUACAAGUCACUACAGCGGAGCAGAUCCUUUGGCUGUGUUUCCUGUCAUCAGGUGUCACCCCAGCUAGAUGUCUGCAAGGAAGCGGCAAGAAUGACAUAAAAACAUUCAGGAUAACCUUGUGAAUCGUGGAAACGUAAAAGAGUAAAUGGAUGGACAAGUAUUGUAGCUGUUUGCUUUAUAACUUCAGCUGCAUAGAACGCCGUUGUACAGGUAAAUAAAGUGAAGUAUCUAUUUUAACA